RNAcentral lists this ribosomal RNA (403 nucleotides) under uncultured bacterium. RNAcentral's name for it is "partial 16S ribosomal RNA". It matches the Rfam family "Bacterial small subunit ribosomal RNA", at positions 28 to 526 of the family's 1533-position model. The record is from RNAcentral.
GACGAACGCUGGCGGCGUGCCUAAUACAUGCAAGUCGAACGCAGUGGGGACGGGUGAGUAACACGUGGGUAACCUCCCAUCAGAGGGGAUAACUCUUGGAAACAGGUGCUAAACCGACAUUGAUGGAUGGAUCCGGGGGGGAUUCGCUAGUUGGAGGGGUAACGGCGCACCAAGGCCACGAUGCAUAGCCGGCCUGAGAGUGUGAUCGGCCACACUGGGACGGAGCCACGGCCCAGACUCCUACGGGAGGCAGCAGUAGGGAAUCUUCGGCAAUGGACGAAAGUCUGACCGAGCAACGCCGCGUGAGUGAAGAAGGCUUUCGGAUCGUAAAGCUCUGUUGUUAGAGAAGCGGUAUCUAACCAGAAAGCCACGGCUAACUACGUGCCAGCAGCCGCGGUAAUUC